CCCAGUAACUGGAGGAUGCUUGAUGG
RNAcentral lists this non-coding RNA (26 nucleotides) under Homo sapiens (human). The record is from RNAcentral. Lineage: Eukaryota; Metazoa; Chordata; Mammalia; Primates; Hominidae.